RNAcentral lists this ribosomal RNA (347 nucleotides) under uncultured Spirochaeta sp. RNAcentral's name for it is "bacterial SSU rRNA". It matches the Rfam family "Bacterial small subunit ribosomal RNA", at positions 1035 to 1382 of the family's 1533-position model. The record is from RNAcentral. Lineage: Bacteria; Pseudomonadati; Spirochaetota; Spirochaetia; Spirochaetales; Spirochaetaceae.
CAGGUGCUGCAUGGCUGUCGUCAGCUCGUGCUGUGAAGUGUUGGGUUAAAGUCCCGCAACGAGCGCAACCCCUGCUGCCUGUUGCCACCACGAGAGGUGGGGACUCAGGCGGGACCGCCGGUGACAAACCGGAGGAAGGUGGGACGACGUCAAGUCAUCAUGGCCCUUAUGUCCUGGGCUACACACGUGCUACAAUGGCCGGUACAGAGCGCAGCGAGGCCGCGAGGCGGAGCGAAUCGCUUAAAGCCGGUCCCAGUACGGAUUGGAGUCUGCAACCCGACUCCAUGAAGUUGGAAUCGCUAGUAAUCGCGCAUCAGCAUGGCGCGGUGAAUACGUUCCCGGGCCUU